Molecule: ribosomal RNA, 527 nt
Filed under: uncultured archaeon
Lineage: Archaea
Description: bacterial SSU rRNA
Rfam family: Archaeal small subunit ribosomal RNA
Source: RNAcentral
UUGAGAGAGGGAGCCCAGAGAUGGACUCUGAGACAUGAGUCCAGGCCCUACGGGGCGCAGCAGUCGCGAAAACUUCGCAAUGGGGGAAACCCCGACGAGGGAAUUCCAAGUGCCAGCACUUUGUGUUGGCUGUUCUUCUGUCUAAAAAACAGGAGAAGUAAGGGGCGGGUAAGACGGGUGCCAGCCGCCGCGGUAAUACCCGCGCCCCAAGUGGUGGUCGAUAUUAUUGAGCCUAAAACGUCCGUAGCCGGUCUUCUAAAUCCUUGGGUAAAUCGGGCAGCUCAACUGUCCGAAUUCCGGGGAGACUGGGAGACUUGGGACCGGGAGAGGUCAGAGGUACUUCUGGGGUAGGGGUAAAAUCCUGUAAUCCUGGAAGGACCACCGGUGGCGAAGGCGUCUGACUAGAACGGAUCCGACGGUGAGGGACGAAGCCCUGGGGCGCAAACGGGAUUAGAUACCCCGGUAGUCCAGGGUGUAAACGCUGCGGGCUUGGUGUUGGGGGUCCUUAGUGGGCGCCCAGUGCCGGA